RNAcentral lists this ribosomal RNA (465 nucleotides) under uncultured Klebsiella sp. RNAcentral describes it as "bacterial SSU rRNA". It matches the Rfam family "Bacterial small subunit ribosomal RNA", at positions 338 to 795 of the family's 1533-position model. The record is from RNAcentral. Lineage: Bacteria; Pseudomonadati; Pseudomonadota; Gammaproteobacteria; Enterobacterales; Enterobacteriaceae.
CCUACGGGAGGCUGCAGUGGGGAAUAUUGCACAAUGGGCGCAAGCCUGAUGCAGCCAUGCCGCGUGUGUGAAGAAGGCCUUCGGGUUGUAAAGCACUUUCAGCGGGGAGGAAGGCGGUGAGGUUAAUAACCUCAUCGAUUGACGUUACCCGCAGAAGAAGCACCGGCUAACUCCGUGCCAGCAGCCGCGGUAAUACGGAGGGUGCAAGCGUUAAUCGGAAUUACUGGGCGUAAAGCGCACGCAGGCGGUCUGUCAAGUCGGAUGUGAAAUCCCCGGGCUCAACCUGGGAACUGCAUUCGAAACUGGCAGGCUAGAGUCUUGUAGAGGGGGGUAGAAUUCCAGGUGUAGCGGUGAAAUGCGUAGAGAUCUGGAGGAACACCGGUGGCGAAGGCGGCCCCCCGGACAAAGACUGACGCUCAGGUGCGAAAGCGUGGGGAGCAAACAGGAUUAGAUACCCGUGUAGUC